GACGAACGCUGGCGGCGUGCUUAACACAUGCAAGUCGAACGAUGAAGCCGGAGCUUGCUCCGGUGGAUUAGUGGCGAACGGGUGAGUAACACGUGAGCAAUCUGCCCUUGACUCUGGAAUAACUGCGGGAAACUGUAGCUAAUACCGGAUACGACACCUUGGGGCAUCCCAGGGUGUGGAAAGAAUUUCGGUCAAGGAUGAGCUCGCGGCCUAUCAGCUAGUUGGUGAGGUAAUGGCUCACCAAGGCGACGACGGGUAGCCGGCCUGAGAGGGUGACCGGCACACUGGAACUGAGACACGGUCCAGACUCCUACGGGAGGCAGCAGUGGGGAAUAUUGCACAAUGGGCGAAAGCCUGAUGCAGCAACGCCGCGUGAGGGAUGAAGGCCUUCGGGUUGUAAGCCUCUUUUAGCAGGGAAGAAGCGAAAGUGACGGUACCUGCAGAAAAAGCACCGGCUAACUACGUGCCAGCCGCCGCCGUAA
RNAcentral lists this ribosomal RNA (482 nucleotides) under uncultured bacterium. RNAcentral describes it as "partial 16S ribosomal RNA". It matches the Rfam family "Bacterial small subunit ribosomal RNA", at positions 28 to 523 of the family's 1533-position model. The record is from RNAcentral.